This 440-nucleotide ribosomal RNA is filed under the name uncultured bacterium. RNAcentral describes it as "bacterial SSU rRNA". It matches the Rfam family "Bacterial small subunit ribosomal RNA", at positions 338 to 795 of the family's 1533-position model. The record is from RNAcentral.
CCUACGGGGGGCUGCAGUGAGGAAUCUUGCGCAAUGGACGAAAGUCUGACGCCGCGACGCCGCGUGAAGGAAGAAGCUUUUCGGAGUGUAAACUUCUUUUCCAUAGGACGAUUAUGACGGUACUAUGGGAAUAAGCCACGGCUAACUUCGUGCCAGCAGCCGCGGUAAUACGAGGGUGGCAAGCGUUAUCCGGAUUUAUUGGGCGUAAAGAGCGCGUAGGCGGUUUCAUAAGUCUUGACAUAAAUCUCACUGCCUAACAGUGAACCUUGUUGAGAUACUGUGGAACUAGUGGAUGGCAGGGGUAAGCGGAAUUCCCGGUGUAGGAGUAAAAUCCAUUGAUAUCGGGAGGAACACCAAUGGCGAAGGCAGCUUACUAGGUCAUUUCAGACGCUAAGGCGCGAAAGCGUGGGGAGCGAACGGGCUUAGAUACCCGGGUAGUC